Molecule: ribosomal RNA, 254 nt
Filed under: uncultured bacterium
Lineage: Bacteria
Description: partial 16S ribosomal RNA
Rfam family: Bacterial small subunit ribosomal RNA
Source: RNAcentral
UACGGGGGGGGCAAGCGUUGUUCGGAAUUACUGGGCGUAAAGGGCUCGUAGGCGGCCAACUAAGUCGGACGUGAAAUCCCCAGGCUCAACCUGGGAACUGCGUCUGAUACUGGAUGGCUUGAAUCCGGGAGAGGGAUGCGGAAUUCCAGGUGUAGCGGUGAAAUGCGUAGAUAUCUGGAGGAACACCGGUGGCGAAGGCGGCAUCCUGGACCAACACUGACGCUGAGUGAGCGAAAGCCAGGGGAGCAAACGGG